CACCAUUCUCAUCCAAUCUAAAGUCUCCACCUUUACCUUGAUUAACCAACGUCACUCGGUCCACGAGUUCCAAAUCUUCCUUCUGACCAUUCUUGAUCUCUUCCAAUAUAUUGUUUGUCAACAUCAACAUACCCAACCUCACACCAGCAGGUGUCAACUCACUAACCAAACUCAAAUCUCGAAACAGCUCAAUCAAUUCCAACUCUUUAACCAUCAAAGCAGACAUAUGCAAAAUCUUACUACUCAAAGCAUCCGCAAC
Molecule: long non-coding RNA, 259 nt
Filed under: Medicago truncatula (barrel medic)
Lineage: Eukaryota; Viridiplantae; Streptophyta; Magnoliopsida; Fabales; Fabaceae
Description: long non-coding RNA (MTRU_LNC000391)
Source: RNAcentral